AGUUCCUCAUAUUCAAGGAUGGUUAGGCUUUGUAGGUGUGUUUUAUGAUUUUGGGAUAUUAAAGUGCGAAUUGUGAAAUUUAAUUAAAAAAAUAAUUUAACCUAAUGACAAGAAUUAAAGUACAAGAAAAAUAGAUCAAGGCAUUUAAUAAACAUAAAAUAAAGCAAGAUAGAAAUAAUAGUGAUAAGAAUGAUAAACUAAAUUAAACUUAAUGAAAAUUUG
RNAcentral lists this long non-coding RNA (222 nucleotides) under Prunus persica (peach). RNAcentral's name for it is "long non-coding RNA (PPER_LNC006861)". The record is from RNAcentral. Lineage: Eukaryota; Viridiplantae; Streptophyta; Magnoliopsida; Rosales; Rosaceae.